UCGAGAAUCUUCCGCAAUGGGCGAAAGCCUGACGGAGCGACACCGCGUGCAGGAUGAAGGCCUUCGGGUUGUAAACUGCUGUCACGCUAUAGGAAAAGCGCUCAGCGCCUUGACCAAAGCGAGAGGAAGCACCGGCUAACUCCGUGCCAGCAGCCGCGGUAAGACGGAGGGUGCAAACGUUGUUCGGAAUUACUGGGCAUAAAGAGCACGUAGGCGGCUCGUCAAGUCACGCGUGAAAUCCCUCGGCUCAACCGGGGAACUGCGUGUGAUACUGGCGGGCUAGAGGACGGUAGGGGUGAGCGGAACUCCAGGUGGAGCGGUGAAAUGCGUAGAUAUCUGGAGGAACACCGGUGGCGAAAGCGGCUCACUGGACCGUAACUGACGCUGAGGUGCGAAAGCUAGGGUAGCAAACGGGAUUAGAUACCCCCGUAGUCC
This 435-nucleotide ribosomal RNA is filed under the name uncultured prokaryote. RNAcentral describes it as "bacterial SSU rRNA". It matches the Rfam family "Bacterial small subunit ribosomal RNA", at positions 355 to 796 of the family's 1533-position model. The record is from RNAcentral.